Molecule: long non-coding RNA, 5075 nt
Organism: Ahaetulla prasina
Lineage: Eukaryota; Metazoa; Chordata; Lepidosauria; Squamata; Colubridae
Exons: 4
Source: RefSeq, a predicted model, not a curated record
GGGGCGACGCUGUGAAAGGGCUGAUCUCUUCCCCCGCUGUCGGGGCAGAUUGGCGGGGCAUGGGUUGGAGAAGCGCAUGAGGUCAGGCGGAGGCCAUGGGAGAGGGCGGAGACUGGCUCGUGUUUCGGGGUUAACUUCUGACGAGGCUGCCUGGGGAUUCUCGAGAUCCUUUCCCAGCAGAUCGGCCAUUAGUUCUCUUGACGAGCCGCCCGCUGUUACCCCUUCAGCUGAGUCUGUAUCUUUAACUCUUCUGCAGGCGAGAUACAAAUUUUCGUUGUCCUUAAAACAUGAAUCCGUCGAAUUAAACUAGAGCUCGCCGACGCCUUUAGUGACGCUACGGUUCAGCUCCGGUUAGGCUCGAUAGGGCAAAGUUUUGGGAGGGUCUUCCAGGCCAAAGCAGUCAGUUGAAGGAAGAAAAGGAUCAUGCCAUGCGGCUCUCUAGCAUUUCCUUUUUGGCCUGUAUUAUUUUCCAGUAUUUGGAUUGCUGAAGAUGUGCUGAACCAACCCUGAUCGUGUCUAAUCCAGCAGUCAUGCCCAAAGAAUGGGGAAGGUGAAAGAAGAUCCGCUACUUUUGAUAUUCACCAACAGGAAAAAAAACCUAUGAAGGAGAAGUAGCUGUAAUUUAAAGGAAUAUAAUGCUGGAAUUCUUUAUUUUAAGAAAAACAGAAGGUACAAUUAGAAUUGUGGAGUGGGGGACGACAACUUUGUCCAAAACAGAUGAAGCACAGUUUCCUGAGUAGACAAGUCCCAACCAAGAGCAUCCUCUCAUCUAUCUUUGCCUCAGAAAGAACAAAGUUAUUUCUCUGAGAAACAAAAGGAACUGAAAUGAAAAAUGAGCACUGGAACAGCAAAAAACAACAGAAUAAGGUGGCCUGCAUUGAAGUAUGCUCCAAAGAAACACCUAGCACAAGUAUUAAAAAAUGCCAAUAUUGUAAUAUUAAAUAUAAGCAGCAACUCAUUACAAAUCAGACAAAUCAACACAGCACAGCUGCAGUUGUUAUAACUGAAGAUUUUGUUAUAACUGAAGAUUUUGCAUGGAAAAUCAACAAAUGAAAAAACACUGUCCAUACACAGUAUAUAGCCAAGAUAUUGCAGUGGAAGUUGAACUGGACAAAUGUGCCAUUUUUACCAUCAACAGAAGAAAAAUAUUGAAACUGAAGGAAUCAAAAUGCCCUACAGAAAUAGCAUCAGGAAUCUGGGUGAAAAAGAUCUCAACAAAUUCCUGGGCAUCCUUCAUGUUAACAACAUCAAGUACAUCGAAGUCAAAAAGAAAGCUAGAAAUGAAUACAUCCAGAAAGUGAAGAAGAUCACAGUUAACAGCCGGACAAUUCAGUCAUUAGAUAUAUAGCUGGAAUAGUAGAAUUGAUUCAACCUGAGAUGGCAGCACGCGUAGAUGCUGCGGCUUUGAGCUUCUGGUGUUAUAGUGGAGUGAAUGGGCAAAAACUAGUCUAUACCCACGAGAAGUUACUAAAGAUCAGAUUUUCUAGUCGACUAGAUAUUACCAGCGACUUCCAGCAGUCUCAUAAUAUACCGAGUGAUAUAGUAAGACUGCCAGGGUCUCCAUAGAUUGUUGUUGGGCUUGGGAGGCGGUGUUGACAGCAAAGAGAGAGGAAGCAGAAGCGGGGAUGCAAAGCUGGUUUGCUAACUCGGUUACAGAAGCAGCCUCACAGACCAGCAUUACCAAACAUUCUUCUAGCCAACGCGAGAUCCUUUGUCAACAAAACUGAUGAACUAGAGCUAUGGAUGGCAACAAAUAAGCUCAUUCGCGACUGCUGUGUGAUGAUUAUCAUGGAGACCUGGCUUCAUCCAUUUGUACCGGAUGUGUCAAUGGAGCUAACUAACCGCACCACACACCACUUCGACAGAAAUGACAACAUAAUGAGAGUUGCUUAUACACACUGUUCUCCAUUUUAUUUACCUAGAGAGAUUUCUGUUGCAGUUACCACCGCUGUCUAUAUUCCACCUGAUGCAAAUGUUAGCACAGCGCUCUCUACAUGACACAAUCGAGAGGCAGCAGCAAACUUACCCUGAGGGUGCUUUCGCCAUGGCUGGGGAUUUUAAACAAGCCUGUCUACAGUCUGUUCUUCCUAAGUUUGUGCAGUAUGUGCAGUGUACUACCAGAGAUAAGAACACUUUAGACCAUAUGUAUUCAAACUUAAGACAGGCAUAUAGAGCAAUCCCUAUCUCCCAUCUGGGUACGCAUGACCACAUCUCUCUGCUAUUGUGCGCAAAGUAUAUCCCCCUCAAGAAAAGGAUAUGGCCAGUCAGAAAAACUGUUAAAAUCUGGCUGGAGGGACCACUCUGCCAGUUGCAGGACUGCUUUGAGACUACUGAGUGGAGUAUAUUUGAACAUUUGGAGCUGAAAGAAUUCACUGAUGCUCUUAACAUUAAAGCAUGCACAUCAGGGGUGAAAUGCUCCCGGUUCAGUCUGGAUUGCCUGAUCCAUUAGCAAUUGUGGUGGGUGGUUCAGGGAACAGGUAGCAAUUGCGGUGCAAGGCUCUGCCCACCCACUGGCUGUCGUUACUUCUUGGUUUUAACCAGGAAGUAAUGUGUUUUGUACCCUCUGCGCAUGCGCAGAAAGGCGCGUGAACUUCCGAACUGGUAAGGGAGUUAAGUAGAUUUCACCCCGAUGUACAGACAAUGUAACAGUGAAUAAGUGAAUUAGAAUUUACAGUCAUCGUAAACCCUGGAUGUCAUCAGAGGUACAAUCACUUCUAAGCCCGAAACUCCACCUUCAAGGCAGGAAAUAAAGAUGAAUAUAACAAGGCCAGGGCAAACUUGAGGAGAGGCGUUAAGGCAGCUAAACAGGAAUACAAACAAGUAGAGAAGCAUCUGGCAGAUAAUAAUCCAAGAUGGGUGUGGCAGGGGUUCAACAUCUACCCAAUUAUAAGGGAAAUACGAUGGAAACCGCCAACGCUGGUGCCCUGCUGGUGGAGGUACUGAAUAGCUUCUUCACCCGCUUGAGGUUAAAAGACCUGUCUCUGUGGCUCGAACUCGCCUCUAAUCUCCAGCCGCUCAUCUUGCAUGAACAUCAAGGGAGAGCUGUGCUAAAGGCUGUAAAUCCCAACAAAGCUGCAGGUCCAGAUGGAGUGCUGUGGAAAGUGAUAAAAACCUGAGCUGACCAAUUAACAAGGGUCCUGACAAGGAUUUUUAACAUCUCCUUGCAAUUGCUUAGAGUUCCAUCUUGCUUGAAAGCAGCCACAAUCAUUCCAGUUCCAAAGAAAGCAGCCAUAAACAGCCUGAAUGACUAUAGACCCAUUGCACUGACAUCUAUAGUGAUGAAGUGCUUUGAGACACUGGUUCUACGACACCUCAGGUCCUGUCUUCCACUAAAUUUUGAUCAACACCAGUUUGCUUAUAGAAACAACAGGUCAACGGCAUCACCACUGCUUUACAUACUGCAUUGAGACACCUCAAGAAAUCUGGGAACUGUCAGAAUGCUUUUUAUAGACUAUAGCUGGGCCUUUAAUACCAUCUUACCAGGCAUUCUCAUUGAAAAGCUGACUGACCUGAAUUUCCCUCCCCUCACUUGUGACUGGGUCAAAGACUUCCUGACGGACUGUCCACAAACAGUAAGGGUUGCGUCUCUGACAUCUUCUAUCCUGAAGCUCAGCACAGGCUCCCCUCAGGGCUGUGUGCUCAGCCCUUUCCUGUACUCACUGUAUAUAUAUGACUGCAUAUCCUCGAAUCCAUCUAACACCAUAAUAAACUUUGCAGAUGACACAAUGGCGUUGGGGCUUAUAACUGGAGGGGAUGAAUCAGCAUACGGGGAAGAAGUCCAGAAGGUAUCCAUGUGGUGUUCAAAAACAAUUUACAUCUAAAUGUAAGUUGCAAGACAAAGGAGGUGGUGCUAGAUUUCCAGAAGCACAGAGAGGAACCUGUCCCAGUGUAUAUUGAGGGGGGCUGUGUGGAGAGGGUUUCCUCUUUUAAAUUCUUGAGAGUGCUCAUUAGUCAAGCUCUUACCUGGAAAAACAGCACAUCCCUGCUGUGACCCAGUAGGAAACUCAGUCAGUGAAAAAACAAACUUUAUUCGAACAGCUGAAAAUUACUUCAUUCCCAGCAUAGUUCAACAAAAUUAAAGCAAAUUCCUCCCAACAAAAUUCCUCAGUCCUAUCGCAAACCUUGAUCCAAUUAGGCAAACUGCUAAAGGCCUUUCUUGGCAAAUGUUCAGAAGUCACAGAUACAAAAAUGAAUGCAAGAAGACAAAGCUACCAACAACCAAACGUCGUUGCUGGUUUGUUUUAAGCCUUAUGAGAGGGGCCAGUUAUCUCUUGGCCCUAUUCCCGAGUCGUCCUCUUUGCUUGAGCUGCUUUCUGGCAGCUCUUCUCAUGCGUGCAUUAGGAACAGGCUCCUCCUGUUCCUCUGCCUCACUACUAUCAGUCUCUGGAGGCUCUGGAGUCCGCAUCUCACUCCCCAAUGGCCCUGGCCCUGGCCCCACCUCAGCCUCAUCGUUGUCCAACUCGGUUGCCAGCUUUGCAGGCUGCUGGCAGACCACAACAAUCCCUGGUAGUUACUACGGCUCAACAGAGACAUCAUUUCCUUAGAGUCCUGCAGAAAAAUCAGGUGGGACAAUGGCUGAUGACUUCUUUCUAUCGAUCUAUGAUAGAAAGUGUCCUCACAUACUUUAUAACAGUAUGGUAUACUGGUCUAACAGCUGCAGACAGGAAGGCACUACAGAGAGUGAUCAAUUUGGCACAAGAAACCAUUGGUUGCCCUCUAAUACCACUAGAUGACAUCGCCAGGUCUUGUUCAGCAGAGUAAGGAAGCUAUUUAGGAAUGAUUCACACUCUGGCCAGUGUCUCUUCUCGCUUCUACCAUCAGGCUGAAGAUAUUGAAGCAUAGCCAGCUAGCCAAACAGGUUUAAAAACAGCUUCUAUCCAUGGGCUGCCAGACUCUUAAACACAAUCACAAUCACCCCCCGCACAUACGGAAACAUAUGACUAGUAUUUUUUCCCCAAUUAUUUGUCUAGGGAUUAUUCUGUAUACUAUUUAUGUUGUUUUGUAUUUUCUGUUAUGGAUUGCACUAAAGAGGCUAAACCAGUUUCGUUGAAUAUAUGAUGUACAAUGAAAAUAAA